CCUACGGGAGGCAGCAGUGGGGAAUAUUGGGCAAUGGGCGCAAGCCUGACCCAGCAACGCCGCGUGAAGGAAGAAGGCUUUCGGGUUGUAAACUUCUUUUCUGGGGGACGAACAAAUGACGGUACCACAGGAAUAAGCCACGGCUAACUACGUGCCAGCAGCCGCGGUAAUACGUAGGUGGCAAGCGUUAUCCGGAGUUAGUGGGUGUAAAGGGCGUGUAGGCGGGAAUGCAAGUCAGAUGUGAAAACUCAGGGCUCAACCCUGAGCCUGCAUUUGAAACUGUGUUUCUUGAGUGCUGGAGAGGGAAGUGGAAUUCCGGGUGUAGCGGUGAAAUGCGUAGAUAUACGGAGGAACACCAGUGGCGAAGGCGGAUUGCUGGACAGUAACUGACGCUGAGGCGCGAAAGCGUGGGGAGCAAACAGGAUUAGAUACCCGAGUAGUC
This 442-nucleotide ribosomal RNA is filed under the name uncultured bacterium. RNAcentral describes it as "partial 16S ribosomal RNA". It matches the Rfam family "Bacterial small subunit ribosomal RNA", at positions 338 to 795 of the family's 1533-position model. The record is from RNAcentral.